RNAcentral lists this ribosomal RNA (200 nucleotides) under uncultured bacterium. RNAcentral's name for it is "partial 16S ribosomal RNA". It matches the Rfam family "Bacterial small subunit ribosomal RNA", at positions 30 to 225 of the family's 1533-position model. The record is from RNAcentral.
AUUGAACGCUGGCGGCAUGCCUUACACAUGCAAGGUCGAACGGCAGCACGGGAGCAAUCCUGGUGGCGAGUGGCGAACGGGUGAGUAAUAUAUCGGAACGUGCCCAGUCGUGGGGGAUAACGCAGCGAAACGCUGUGCUAAUACCGCAUACGAUCUAUGGAUAGAAAGUCGGGGGAUCGCAAGACCGUCGCGCGAUUGGA